Long non-coding RNA from Humulus lupulus (European hop), 1459 nucleotides. RefSeq lists it as uncharacterized. NCBI's taxonomy places the organism in Eukaryota, Viridiplantae, Streptophyta, Magnoliopsida, Rosales, Cannabaceae. The record is from RefSeq and is a predicted model, not a curated record. The transcript has 2 exons.
GACCCGAGUAUUGAAAGGCUUUGUGUAAAUAGCAUCGGCAGCCACAACAGUCAACUGGUGGUUGGCAACGGUAAAGAAAAGUUCUUGAUUGAGUGCAGAGUUGAUGAUCCUUAGGAGAAUUGUCUCCUUUGUAUCCACAGAUACAUUUGGUGCUCCUCCUGUGAAUUGUGCCUGCCUCAGGACAUCCAUGGGGUUUCUGUUCCACCAUUCCCCUGCAAUUUCCACAAUCACUUUAUGAGAUAGCUUUGCUAAGUUGAAAGAGUUUAGCAGUGGUAGAAUCAAUUAAGGAUAAAUAGUUUAAAACAAACAAAUGAUUGGUGUUCUAUCAUUACCAAGAAGAAUUGGAAAUUCUCUCUUGGGUGUAGGAAAUGGAUAUGGAGAACCCAAUUUAGGAUAAAUAAUGAGAGCUCCAUAAACAGUGGCUCUAAGCCAUCUGCUGUGAGCAUGCCACCACAAUGUCCCCUCUUGGUCUAUGAUUGUGAACCUGUAUGUGUAGGCUGCACCAGGUUGGAUGGCGCACUGAGUGACAGACUCAGGCCCAUCUGCCCAUGGAUUCUGCAGCUGUCGAAUGCCGUGCCUGAAGUAUAACAAGUUACAAUAGUCAGCAUCAACUAAAAUUUAAAAGCAACAUGAGGUGAUGUAGGAGCAGCACACAUGCAUGAGUUUCAUUAAGCUUAGUCUAGUUUGAGAAUGAAAGGCUUAACGAUUACCAGUGCAUGGUAACAUUGUAUUGUGCACCGUUUACAACUUUGAUCACCAGAGAAUCUCCAUUUCUGACUUCCAAUGUUGGUCCCGGGAACAUCCCAUUGACUGUGAUUCUAUUACGGGUCCUGCAUAGCCUCGUGAUCGGUGUUUGUUGAACCUAAACAGGAAAGAAAAAAAUUAUCUUAGAAUUAUAUUUCAUUGCAGAUAAAGGCUGAGUAAGAGGGUGAUGAGUUUGAAGACAUACAACAAAUUGAUGGUAGUGAGUUUCAGCAUCUGCAUAACAAGCUAGUAAAGCAAACAAAACAAAGAUGCCAAGUAAAAAGCAAGACGACCAAGGCUUGAGACUGAGUUUGAAAGCUUCCAUUGUUCUCAAAUUCCUUUGUAUAAUCAAGUAUGGUGCUAAUGAGUAUGUCUAGACCCAUAGAAGAGCUGAUACUUAUACUAUGAUAGAGCCUAAGGAGGGAAUACUUAAUUCAUUAUUUGAUUUCAAAGAAAUUAUAAUAAUAAUGUACUAGAAAUUAGGUUUUAAGUCAACAGUAACACUUGAGAUUUUAUGGCAUCUUAGUCCAACCAUAAAGGGGAUUUGGUGCACCCACUCAUGGCUUCUUCACUUGUUAAUUACAUGGAGAUUACUGGGUUUUGGUUUAUUUGAGUUGUAUCAGCUUUGAAAAUCUCCCAUAUACAUGUAAUUGUCAUCAACUAAAGUUGCAUAAUAUUUCAAGGCUCUUGUGGUCAAAAGCUUUAGAGACUUUAA